GGCCCUAUCGUCUAUCGGUUAGGACGAAUCCUUUUCAAGGAUUAAAGCGGAGUUCGACUCUCCGUAGGGUCACCA
RNAcentral lists this transfer RNA (75 nucleotides) under bacterium. RNAcentral describes it as "tRNA-Glu". It matches the Rfam family "tRNA". Rfam says of the family: Transfer RNA (tRNA) molecules are approximately 80 nucleotides in length. Their secondary structure includes four short double-helical elements and three loops (D, anti-codon, and T loops). Further hydrogen bonds mediate the characteristic L-shaped molecular structure. tRNAs have two regions of fundamental functional importance: the anti-codon, which is responsible for specific mRNA codon recognition, and the 3' end, to which the tRNAs corresponding amino acid is attached (by aminoacyl-tRNA synthetases). tRNAs cope with the degeneracy of the genetic code in two manners: having more than one tRNA (with a specific anti-codon) for a particular amino acid; and 'wobble' base-pairing, i.e. permitting non-standard base-pairing at the 3rd anti-codon position. The record is from RNAcentral.